Long non-coding RNA from Pangasianodon hypophthalmus (striped catfish), 689 nucleotides. RefSeq lists it as uncharacterized. The transcript has 3 exons. The record is from RefSeq and is a predicted model, not a curated record. NCBI's taxonomy places the organism in Eukaryota, Metazoa, Chordata, Actinopteri, Siluriformes, Pangasiidae.
UCUCAUAUCAUACGCGAGUGCAUGACCACCUUAUACUAUGUUUAACCGUCUCAGGAGGUCUUCGACUAUUCAUAGAACCACGGUUACACUCGUAACCAGCGUUCUACCUGGGUGCUAAGUGGGCUAAUGUAACCUUUGUUAUUUUGUAUAUUUUAUUAGAACAGGGUGUCAGAAGCUUUCAAAUUAAUACCUCAAGAAAAAACUUUUUUUUACAGUUUUUUUAAUGUUCAAACCAGUGUCAGAUUUAGGCUCAUUCUGCCUCAAAUCCAUGAAUGGAUGAGUAGCAGCAGUUGGAGCACAACUGGAAUACUACUACACAUUAAAAGGGUGGAGGCCCUCCAUGUAAUCCUCUAUCUGAGAUUGCUGAGAUAGUAGAGGAGAUAUUGGGAAUGGCCAAUCCUUCUAUUUGUGGCAUCGCAGAUGCCCCAGACCCUGCACUGCUCAAACUGAAGGAGUUACAAAGAUGUGUGGAUGAUGCUGGAGCCGGUCCAUCUGACGCAUCUUCUCCUGUAUCAUCUCAGGACAUCUCCUCGUGUGCUCCAGAUGAGCCUUCUCCCUCACAAGACACAGGGUUUGCACAGAGUGCAGCCCCUGAGGAUGACAAGUGUCUUAAAAGAAAAAAGCUCAAUUUACAAAUAAAGUUGCUGGAAAUUCAAAAUGAAUUACGCAGUAAAACUGAAAAGAUUAAA